UCCUUCUCUCCCACUUCUCCUCCAAGCCCACCCACCUCUCCUUCCCCAUCUCCUCCUCCUCCACCUUUGUUCAUCCUUGUAGGCAGCCCCUCUUUCUCCUUUCUCUUCUUUCUCCUUAUCCACUUAUCCUUAUUAUCUUCCUCCUUCUCUAAAUCUAUCCAUGAGUGCUCUCCCUCCUUCCCCAUCCUCUUCCUCCUACCUCCUCCUCUUUCUCCUCCUCGAAUCCCGUCUAUAAAGUUUUGGAUGCCGUCCUCCCCUUCCAUGCUGACCUCCGUGAUCCCACCUCCGCCCUCCAUGGCAACUCCCUCUACCUCCAAUUCUUCUUUUCCGAUGAUCCAUUUAAUGUAGGUAAAGGGUAUUUUUGUCUAUUGAAAUAAAAAACAAGCAUCGUUAGUUGGUAAGUAAAUAGUAUGAUUAUAUUAGAAUAUUUCGAAUGACUAGUUUGAUACAUUUUAAAGUCAAAGAGUUAUAUAUAAAAUUAGACUAAAGUUGAGGAGAUGUUCCAAUAAUUUAUUCUAAAGACUAUAUAGCAUGUAC
RNAcentral lists this long non-coding RNA (537 nucleotides) under Elaeis guineensis (African oil palm). RNAcentral's name for it is "long non-coding RNA (EGUI_LNC022761)". The record is from RNAcentral. Lineage: Eukaryota; Viridiplantae; Streptophyta; Magnoliopsida; Arecales; Arecaceae.